AUUGAACGCUGGCGGCAUGCUUUACACAUGCAAGUCGAACGGUAGAGGGGGCAACCCCUUGAGAGUGGCGAACGGGUGAGUAAUGCAUCGGAACGUGCCCAGUCGUGGGGGAUAACGCAGCGAAAGCUGUGCUAAUACCGCAUACGAUCUCUGGAUGAAAGCGGGGGACCGAAAGGCCUCGCGCGAUUGGAGCGGCCGGUGUCAGAUUAGGCAGUUGGUGGGGUAAAGGCGCACCAAGCCAACGAUCUGUAGCUGGUCUGAGAGGAAGACCAGCGACAGUGGGACUGAGACACGGCCCAGGCUCCUACGGGAGGCAGCGUUGGGGAAUUUUGGACAAUGGGCGCAAGCCUGAUCCAGCAAUGCCGCGUGCAGGAAGAAGGCCUUCGGGUUGUAAACUGCUUUUGUACGGAACGAAAAGGUCUGGGUUAAUACCCUGGGCACAUGACGGUACCGUAAGAAUAAGCACCGGCUAACUACGUGCCAGCCGCCACCGUAA
RNAcentral lists this ribosomal RNA (496 nucleotides) under uncultured bacterium. RNAcentral describes it as "partial 16S ribosomal RNA". It matches the Rfam family "Bacterial small subunit ribosomal RNA", at positions 29 to 523 of the family's 1533-position model. The record is from RNAcentral.